GUAGGGAAUAUUGGACAAUGGGGGGAACCCUGAUCCAGCCAUGCCGCGUGUGUGAAGAAGGCCUUUUGGUUGUAAAGCACUUUAAGCGAGGAGGAGGCUACCGAGAUUAAUACUCUUGGAUAGUGGACGUUACUCGCAGAAUAAGCACCGGCUAACUCUGUGCCAGCAGCCGCGGUAAUACAGAGGGUGCGAGCGUUAAUCGGAUUUACUGGGCGUAAAGCGCGCGUAGGUGGUUAAUUAAGUCAAAUGUGAAAUCCCCGAGCUUAACUUGGGAAUUGCAUUCGAUACUGGUUAGCUAGAGUAUGGGAGAGGAUGGUAGAAUUCCAGGUGUAGCGGUGAAAUGCGUAGAGAUCUGGAGGAAUACCGAUGGCGAAGGCAGCCAUCUGGCCUAAUACUGACACUGAGGUGCGAAAGCAUGGGGAGCAAACAGGAUUAGAAACCCGGGUAGUCC
This 451-nucleotide ribosomal RNA is filed under the name uncultured bacterium. RNAcentral describes it as "bacterial SSU rRNA". It matches the Rfam family "Bacterial small subunit ribosomal RNA", at positions 354 to 796 of the family's 1533-position model. The record is from RNAcentral.